RNAcentral lists this unclassified non-coding RNA (210 nucleotides) under Hevea brasiliensis (rubber tree). Lineage: Eukaryota; Viridiplantae; Streptophyta; Magnoliopsida; Malpighiales; Euphorbiaceae. The record is from RNAcentral.
AAAAAACAAUUCUCUUUUCACGUCUCUUAACUAAUUUUAGUUAAAAUGUAGCACUCAAAUCCUAAAGACCUGGCUCAAGCUUGCCAGUAAGGUUGAGUAACACAUUGCCAACUUUAGCUUACAGUAGCAUCUAAGUAUCAAAUGCGUUUAACAAUUAAACCAUUUUAUUACUAAAACUAAAUUUACCUGUUCAAACAAUCCCUUGGGUAG